This 257-nucleotide ribosomal RNA is filed under the name uncultured bacterium. RNAcentral's name for it is "partial 16S ribosomal RNA". It matches the Rfam family "Bacterial small subunit ribosomal RNA", at positions 524 to 777 of the family's 1533-position model. The record is from RNAcentral.
GACGUAGGGCGCGAGCGUUGUCCGGAUUUAUUGGGCGUAAAGAGCUCGUAGGCGGCUUGUCGCGUCGAAUGUGAAAAUCUCAGGGCUCAACUCUGACAUUGCAUUCGAUACGGGCAGGCUCGAGUUCGGUAGGGGAGACUGGAAUUCCUGGUGUAGCGGUGAAAUGCGCAGAUAUCAAGGAGGAACACCGGUGGCGAAGGCGGGUCUCUGGGCCUGUACUGACGCUGGAGGAGCGAAAGCGUGGGGAGCGAACAGGA